RNAcentral lists this ribosomal RNA (251 nucleotides) under uncultured bacterium. RNAcentral describes it as "partial 16S ribosomal RNA". It matches the Rfam family "Bacterial small subunit ribosomal RNA", at positions 524 to 775 of the family's 1533-position model. The record is from RNAcentral.
UACGGGGGGGCAAGCGUUGUUCGGAAUUACUGGGCGUAAAGGGCGCGUAGGCGGCUUGGCAAGUGGAUGGUGAAAUCCCUCGGCUUAACCGAGGAACUGCCGUCCAAACUGCUUCGCUUGAGACCGGGAGAGGUGAGUGGAAUUCCCAGUGUAGCGGUGAAAUGCGUAGAUAUUGGGAGGAACACCAGUGGCGAAGGCGGCUCACUGGACCGGUACUGACGCUGAUGCGCGAAAGCGUGGGGAGCAACGGG